GAUUGAAGCUUGUGCCCUCGUGCUUUCAGCGAAAGUUUUCGUCCUAAAAACUUUCAUUAUUUUUGUAGAAUCUUAUCCCAAUAUAACCUCUAAUUUUUGGCAAAUGGACGACAAUGUGUUUGUAACUCCUUAAAGAAAGUUGUGGAUUGCAUUUGUGGUCGAGAUUCGAUGUUUUUCAAGCUUAUCUUGGCUCAAACUUUAUGUUGUAUUUCACACUCCAUCUUGGUAUAAAUGUUGCAUCGGCUGCAUCGAUUAGUUUAGAAAUUGCUUGGAAUUCCUCUGGUUUCUCUUCUUUAAGGUAUUUGGGAUUGUUUUUGUGUUGAUAUAUUGUGAUGUAUGAAAGAUGUGUCAAAUUAUAUUGCUUUUUAAUACAGGGUUUUAUAAUAUUGAGAUUUUGAAUUGACAAUUCACCUUUAAAAUAUUUAUUUAAUACGUUUUCGUAGCGCUUUGCAUUGUGGUUAUAGUGGUAUCAUUCAAGAUGGCUUAUUUUUUGUCCUGGCCCGUGCAAGAACUAAAAACUAGGGUCAGGUGCAUGAUAGCCAACAACAAAAUAUUUGCGAAAACAUUCAAUAUUUUUAUUCGAGGCUGCUAUCCAGACUGCAUUUUCUCCACCACGUGCGGAAGAAGAUCUUCCGCGCGCAUUUUUUAUGCUUUCUAUAUAUUUACUAUUAAAUUUUCGAAAUCUUUCUUGUGCAAUUUCCAAACUUUGCAGUCUGGGCUGCUAUCUUUAUCAGUGAUACCAGUAUAAGCACAAUGCAAAGCGCUACGGAAAUGUAAUAACAGGAAUUGUCUAUUGGUUUUAAAUUUUAAACAAGAUCCGUAGUUUGGAAUAAGGCCACUUCAAGUUAAUCUUUACUUUCUGGUCCGGCUUACCUUUGUUUAAAAAAGGGCAGGGAGUUAGGACAUAAAUACAAUUGUGGCUUUGCUCACAUUUUUGUGGUCCUUCUUGUCCCUUUUCAUGUAAAAUAAAAAGUAGGGCACAAUUGGGUGCAUUGUAGUUCAGGGCCUGAAAUAACAGCCGAUCAAUGAUCGACAGGAAAUUGUUUUUUGAUCGGCAAAGAAGCAAUGUGGUCAUUCGUCUUGAUCGGCAAGAAAUAUAUUUGGCCAUUGUCUGAAAAACAUGCUUACCUGUAUGCGGUAAAAGACAAAUAAAAGUAAUUUCAUAAACUCAUUGAUAAUUCAUGAGGAAAACACAAAGAAAAAUCAUAAGCAUGUCGUAUCUUUAUAUGUGAUAGAGAUUUCCCUUGAUUUACAUAAACUUUAACUUUGAUUUUCUCAACUUACACAAUAUAUUUCUUGAAAAUUACUUCGCCAAUGAACUUACUAGAUCAAUCUACUCAGGGGCAGUGGCGUAACUACUAUGGGCUUGGACCGGUUGAACCCUGGGGCCCCCAACCCCAAUGGGUCGUUCCAGAAAAGAUCCAUACCCCCUACGGAGGAAAUUUUUGCUGUCCGAAGGGGGAGGGAGCUAAAAUGUCUUAGGAUGUGGAUAUGUUUGUCUGAAGGUUUGAGACUGUGAAAAAGCUAUGUGAUCGGCGAUUAUAAUGAGCACGCAAUUUUUAUCAUCUAUAUGUAGCUCUUGAACACCGGAACGUUUAUGUAACAGCAAAAAUUAUACGUCCACGUAACUUGUAAGCAAAAUAAGCGGCCCACUUUUGCAUGCAUGGCCACCAAAAACUAACUCGCUGUAACAGCGUAUCCUGUCGAAAAUUGACACGCUUUAUCGAAAAUGUAUCUAUCGAAAAUUGACACGCUUUAUUUAUAUAGUUUGUAGUUUUCGUUCGUAUAUAUAAGUUUGAUUUAUUCAAGUGUUAAAAACAAUAGUUAUUAAACUGUUGCUCGAAUUAAGAGACUGCUAUGUGAACUGAACUCAAAACAAUUUGUUUUAGUAUAUAGUCAAUAAAGCUUCCUUGCAAGAUGCGUGUCUAGAAAAUAGAAAUGGCUUUCAUAUUAAGGGCGAGGUUGAGGAAUGCAGUAAUACUAAAAAAUGCAUUAACAUGUAUAAGUAAAUAUAGCAACGCUUGUCAAUCAGUCGCAAGUUACAUCGAAUUUCAGUUCAAAUUUUACUUGAACGAAUUUCGAAGUGAAUUUCCGCAAAUUAUCCGACAAAACCUACCACGUGUUUGUGUUCGCAUGUCACAAGAAGCCGCCAAGUGUUCCGCCACGCCGGAACUAUUUGAAAACAGCAUAGAAAAGUCACAAUAAGCCAUCACUAAUUCACUCUACGCUGGAGCGAAAUCGUUUGAAAACUUUCACGUCACUUUUGCCGUAACAAUUUGAGCACGGUUUCUAAACGGAGCACGGUUUCUAAACGGAGCGAGGUGAAAACGGCGGAGCGCUUGAUAGCUUCAUGUGAACACAAACGUGUAAACUCGAAUGCUUUUCAGUUAAAUUUCUUGGGUCUAUUUGAAAUAUUUUGGGUUUACACGAGUGCUACUUCGAUUUGUAAACAAACUGUAAUGGCGGUAGUGUGAACACAUGUAAAUUCUGCCCGCAUUAGUUCGCUCGCACGUAGUGUGAACGUAGUCAAAUUUUCAGUGAUGUUUUCAAACGGCGAGGUAGCCUUUAGAUGAACCAUUCAAGGAUGUCCGAAGGGGGGGGGGAGGGGGUUAUUUUCAAUUUCGUAGAGAUGAGUCGAUCACUAAAAUUGCCGAUUAGCCGAUCUGAUUAAUCGAUGGCUGACUAACGACGUAUAAUCGACCAAUUACUCGGCCAAAGCCGAUUAUUUCUGCAUAUAUAAUUGCUCCAUGUCUGGCUCAAGUUACAAAUUAAAUUUGAUAUAUAUUAAUAUUAACUCACUAUAGCUGAUGUACACCAACGUUUCUAAAGAUGAUUGUUAAUUACUCGUUAAGCACCAGCGUUCUCCCCUUGACAAGUAAAAUCGUCUGGCGUUAGACAGAGUAAAAUACUAAAGUAGGGUGCAUCAGGAUGCAAUGCGACUCAAUGGGUUAAACCUUAAGGCAAACUUCAUGCGAACAUUUUGAAUGCAUGUGAGUGUUAUUUAUUUAAAGCCCACAAAUAUUCACCGGACGCGAUUCGAUAACACAGCGGUCAACAAUAAACUGGAAAUCGUGCCGUGUCGAGAAUUUUAAAGAAAUCCCACAUACUGCUCUUUUUAGCCAUACUCUAUUGAAAGGCCAAAAUGCAGGAUAUUGUGAAAACUUAUUGUCAGAGGCAGUGCUUCGAUUACAUAGAUUGUUUAUAAUGUAGGAAGAUGUGAAAAGGUGUUAAUAGUGACAUGUACGUUUGCGGUGUGUAUCAUAUAUCACAAAGCUUACAAACAUUGAAACAUUAAAAUUUGGAAUACACAUGUUUUAUUUGAUUAUUUUAUUAUUCCAUCUUCAACUUUACAAAUUAAUUUCUUAAAAGAAAUAAGAGAACUUAUUUCUCUCAACUUGAUAGAACAAAAACAGCUAUUGCUGCAUAUUAUACAUGCCCAUCUAGGUGUCUUCACUUAUCACAAAUGGAUUACCAGUUCUAUUUUUGUCUAUUAUCAUUGUCAAGUUUUUUUCUUUGUGAGACUGAUAUGUCAUCCACAUUUGCGUUUCAAUAAAAACAGUUAAUAUGCACGCAAUUAAAAACAUUCAAGUCACAAAAACAAAAGGCAUUACUUAUUUACUAUUAGAAAUAUAAAAUUUUGAAAUAAUCGGCAGACAGCCAAUUAUUUUUAAUAAUCGGCCUAUUAUUGGCUGGUUAAUCAGAAAAACAGAUUAAUCGGCUCAUUUCUAAUGGGGGCCUUCAGGCUGUAGAGCAAAAACAUUGGCAGGGUCUGGGUCUCUGAUAUGUUAGAAUGUUGUUUUCUGACCAUCAGAAUUCUGAAAAAUUGGGCUCUGUUCCUAUUAUCUGGCUAAGUGGGAGACAACAUUUGGCAGUAUGUCCCACCCUAUCCAUGUACAUCAAUAGGUUAACCAAACUAUUUUGGCAAUGUAUCUUGUUAACACAUUAUACCAGAGCUUGAAAUAACGUUCCUGAUCACAGUGGUCGCAGAUUGGGACUUUUACAGAUCAAAUAAAAAUCUGGCUGAUCAGGAACAUUUGUCCGAAUUUUCUUGAAAAAAAAUUCUAAAUGUGCCAGUUGAAUACACAUCUCAAUAGGACAGGGCUGUACACAGGAUUUUUUUCACCAGGGGGUAGUAAGGCCUACAUGCCAAAAAAGUUCCAGAUAUCAAAAUAAUAAUUAAUAAUGACAUUCUAAAAGUCAUAAAUAUACACCCCCAGGGCAUUAGAGUUGUGCGGUUCCAAAAAUUUUAUCUUGGUUCCGGUUUUGGUUCUUUUGGAACAAAAAAACCUCGGUUCAGUUAUUUUCAAAAAAGAACAGUACAAAAGUACAAAUGUAAAACACAUUUAUGUAUGUUAAAACAUUUAUGUAUUGUAUAAAUCUCUGAAUAUUUUAAAAGAACAAUUGGAAUUUAUUUAUAAAGAUGAAAUAUUUCUUACUUUUAAAAGAAAAUUAAAGCAAGUUCACAACAAUAACUAUCACAACUAAAAUAUCAACUAUUUGAGCACUUAGUACAGUGCAUAUUGUACACAAAGAGCACAAUCUUGUUAUUUUCCAAACAUUUCAACCUACAAUCAGGUGGGCGUUUAGCGGGCAUUAAAUGGGAAAUUAAAACCGAAACUACCGGUUCUUUUGCAUAUAAUUUUUCGGUGCUGAAAAAAGUACCAGAAGAACCAAAUUUUUUUUCCCGCACAGCUCUACAGGGCAUGCUCUAGCCAGUGUGGCCGGCUCUAUAAUUGAAAGAGAGCCUGCCCGGAAGCGCUAGUAAAAUUGAUCACUCUCUGCAGGCAAUUUAUUCAAAAAUUUAAAAGUAAACGGCAGUAAAAACAAACGGCGUCGCUAUAUUAAAGUGUAAACCUGUCAGCUAAAAUAUAAAAUUCAAAAGACAAAGUGUAAAAUGUGUAACAUAUACCGGUAUCUAAACAGAAUAAGGUAAGCCACGCUGCUAUUAAUACUGUGUAUGUCGUAUGAUUUUACCAUAUGCUCACUAUAGUAUAGAGUAUAAAACCUUGGCUGUCCUUGCCUUGUUUACAUUUUGCUGGCUGGCAAAUUACAAUUAUAUAAAAUAAUACAUCCCCCAUUGUGUUUACACCAUAAUAAUUCGAAGCUCUCUUUGGAGCUUUCAAAAUACAUUUGCCUGCCAAUGUGUAUAACAUGGGAAGGGGUCUAUUUACUUUUUUUCUAAGUCAUUUUAUAUUAUAUUUAAUACUGCAAUAUUUAUACUGUAGUACAGCCAUACAAGUGCAAAGCAUAAUAUAAUUUUGAACGGUCUUCCUCUACUGUUAAAUUCCAGACAAAGUCGAAGGGCCUUCGCUCAAAAUGCCGACGCUUUACUUGUAUUUCCAAGCAGUUGAAUCGCUAUCCAUCUAUUGUAAGAAAUUUAUUGAAAGCAUGUAGCGCAGGCUAUCGUAAAUAUGCAACGAAUAAUAUUUCAUGCCAUCAUUUAUGUAAAACUAUUUCAAGUGGGCAACUGUUAAUAUGGAAUAUUAACUAAGCAGGCGUAAUCAAUUUUACUAGGGCUUUCGGACAGGCUCUUCUUAUAAAAGAGCCGGCUAUGCUGGCUAGGCAUGCUCACACAUAAAUUUUUUUAAUUUUGGCUCUCUGAAAUGCCAUUUCCCAAAAAAGAAAUGCCAGUAAAAACAAUGAAGUUCAUGUUUUUGAAUUUUUAAAGUGUUCCUACGAGAGGUUGCUAAGCCUAAGGUGUGGUCCUAGAGUGUGGUCUUAGGGUGUAGUUUCGCAUGGUUUUUCAAUUUUUGAAAAAUUUCCUGUGUUCCCCCUUCGCUAAGCGAAGUGUACCAUGUGGUCCUCUGUUUGCCUUUGAUCACAAUUUUUUAAAACAUGUUUUUCAUUCGAAAGUAAUUCUUUUGAUGCGAAAAAAGGUUUUCGACAACUUUCAGAAAGUUUGGAGUAGAGGACUCAGGACUGAAAUAGACAUGAUGGAUAUUUGUACAAGUCUACAACCUAAAGCCCUGUUUACACUAUACCGGCUUGCUAUCGGAGUGGGUCAAAUUGUGUAGGUCUCAAAAGGCUGUGAAGAUUUUUAAUCUCAGAGACCCAAAUAAACAUGCCAGUUAUGUCAAACUAAUAAGCAUUUGCUACUAACCAUUGCUCCGAAACGGCAAAAGAAGAUGUUGUGACCAGCGAAUCCGGUAUAGUGUAAACAGGGCCUAAUAUUAAUAAUACAUAGAAUUUCUACAGUGCAAAGUUUACAGUACUCUGAAACCAUUACCCCCCCCCCCCCCGUAAUCGUCACAAAAAAGAAGGGAUUGGGAUUUUUGUAAUAAUUGGAGGUGUACUGAAAAGGGUGGGUUGAUAUAUAGAGGGUGAGCAAACAUGAAUCCAAAAACACAAAACAUGAGCAUUUUAGGAGGUUUUUAGAGCACACAUAAUUUCCUUGCUGCAGGGAAAAAUCUUUGCAAGUGGAAGCACUCAUCAGUCAUUUUAAUAGUCAUGAAUGUGUUUUGAUAUGGUUUUGAAAAUCACAGGAAGGAUAUUUCUUGUUUGAAAGUGGUAGCACCAGGGAAUUUCGCGGGAAAGAUUGAAGCUUGUGCCCUCGUGCUUUCAGAGACAAUUUUCGUCCUAAAAACUUUCAUUAUUUUUGUAGAAUCUUAUCCCAAUAUAACCUCUGAUCUUUGCCAAAUGGACAACAGCGUGUUUGUAACUCCUUAAAGAAGGUUGUGGAUUGCAUUUGUGGUCGAGAUUCGAUGUUUUUCAAGCUUGACUUGGCUCAAACUUUAUGUUGUAUUUCAUACUCCAUCUUGGUAUAAAUGUUGCAUCAGCUGUAUCGAUUAGUUUAGAAAUUGCUUGGAAUAUCUCUGGUUUGUCUUGUUUAAGGUAUUUGGGAUUGUUUUUGUGUUGAUAUAUUGAGAUUUGAUUGAUUAUUGAUUUUAAAAUAUUCAGAGAUUUAUACAAACUUACAAAGGCAUGAAUUUGUCUAUUUAGUAAAAAUGCUUGAAACAUACAUAAAUGUGUUCUUACAUUUGUACUGUUCUUUUUUGAAAACAACCGAACCGAGGUUUUUUGUUCCAAAAGAACCGAAAACGGAACCGAGAUAAAAUUUUUGGAACCGCACAGCUCUAAUGCUCUUGGGGGGGGGGGGUAUUUAUGACUUUUGGAAUGUCACCCUACUUUAGUAUUUUACUCUGUCAAACGCCAGACGAUUUUACUCGUCAAGGGGAGCGCGCUGGCGCUUAAUGGGUUAACUGGCCUAUCUGCCCAUGUGUCUAGUUAACCCAUUGAGUCGCAUUGCGCCCUGAUGCACCCUAUUUUAGUAUUUUACGCUGUCUAACGCCAGACUAUUUUACUCUGUCUAACGCCAGACGAUUUUAUUUGUCAAGGGGAGAACGCUGGCGCUUAAUGGGUUAAUUAUUAUUUUGAUAUCUGGAAUUUUUUGGCAUAUAGGCCUUACUGCCCUGCCCCCCUGGUGAAAAAAUCCUGUGUACAGCCCUGUCCUGUUGAGAUGUGUAUUCAACUGGCACAUUUAGAAUUUUUUUUAAGAAAACUCAGGCAAAUGUUCCUGAUCGGCCAGAUUUUUAUUUGAUCAGCAAAAAGUCGUGAUCGGCGAUCACCAUGAUUGGGAACAUUAUUUCAAGCCCUGGUAGUUUAAUGUGUUAACAAGAUACAUUGCCAAAAUAGUUUGGUUAACCUAUUAAUGCACAAGACUUUCCUUUUGAUUGAGUAAAAUUAUCGGACGUUUCAGUUCCUUUGUAGCUUAAUGAAUUAAUCCUAUUUUUCUUAGAGAACAGCAAUUCAACUAUCUGGCUUGACAAAGAAACUAUACAUCCGCAAUAUGUACAAGGACAUCGGAUGUAUCAUUGGGAAUUUUUCUCCGAGAUUAUGCAGUCAUGUUGGCACGUGUUAGUUCAGUUGGAUUUGCAGAGGAAGUGUUUGAAAGGUUAGUUUUUAAGUGUGUUUCACUCUACAUUAUUGUGAAAUGUUUACUUCCAUUGCCCUGCUGUGCUUUUGGAGUUAUUCUUGAAAAGUUGAAUAAAUUGUUGCAAAUAGUCAAGAAAAUUUGUUUUCUUUUGAAACAAUGAAUUUCAUCUUAUAGUAUGUUAUGAAAAUUUAAUUUAAAAACUUAUUAGUUGGUAGACUUGUCUGAUAUGUCUUGAUUUGCACUCAUUUUAAAUAGGUUAAAUAAAGGCCAUAUUUUGUUUACAUUUUUGCACGUUUUUAAAGUCAUGUGCAACCUUGUACCGACAAGCGUCUUUUCUCCCCAAAUGGAAAGACCCUGGCUAAGAGAUUGUAUUACCCGCACACAGACCAAAUAUUGCAAAUUGUUUCAAAAACUUGCUUAUUGUUUGAUCAGUCCCAUCGCAUUUCAGGGCAAGUUGGAACAAGUUUACUUGCGAUGAUUUGUGUUCUCGUUUGAUCAGGGCUUGACUCCAAAGGUCAAUAACAUUUUUAUAUUUAAUUUCAUUUCAACUAUAUUAGAGUGAGAUUGAUAUACCGGAAAUAUCCAGUAUACUGGUAUUUGUUUAGAUACCGGUUUGGCGAUAUUGACAAUUUAAAAAUACCAAUAUAUCAACAUUUCGGUACUUUGCUGCCUAAUACCAAAAUGAAAUGCUAUUUCAAGUCAAGCUUGCUUACAAUCAUGUUUAGAAAGUAAAGUUCAAUACUCACAGAUUCAACACUUCGACGCCCAAUCGACGGCCUACUAAUAAUUGCCGCUUAGUGCCGUUAACAUAGCUUGAUAAUGCAAAUCUUGUGACAUUUGCACUAAUAACAGUAUGUGCCACAUUAAUAUUUUGUCAAAACUUGAUUUUCCUUGACGGUCAGCAUUUUAGUUUGGCUUUAAAAAAACAACUUUAAAAAUACUGGUAUUCUGAUGGUGGUAUAUCAGUAUUCUCUAUUUGCGAUAUUGAUCCACUCUAAACUAUAUUUCGGUCAUCAUCAGGAUAAACUAGUUAGGUUACACAAUGUAUUACUGCCAAUGCAAUGGAAGUGUUGAUAAAAUAUUGCACCAAUUCCUUUCCUCAAGUUGAUCAAUUCAUUUGAUAGAAAAUUGAUCAACUUCCUGUUACUUUUUGAUGAGCCAAUUAGAUUUCGUUUCAGAACCGAUUGACCAAUAGGAAACGCACAGGAAGUAAAAAGAAAUUUGAAUUUGUAUGAAUUGAUCAACUUGAGGAAAGGAAUUCAAGGAAUAUUUUAUCAACACUUCCCAGUGGUGUAACUUUACUUUUUUGACCACUUGCCCUCAGGGCAAGUUGGACAUGAAAAUUAGUUGCCCUGAAUAAAAUUCACUUGCAUGCCACAGACAAUGGCCACUUGUAGGGGGUAUAAAUUAAGGGGACAACAGUGUCGACCCGUUCUCCCACCGCUCUAUAUGGCUUGUUAUACUGCCUCCCUCAGAUCUAACUUCGGAGGAAAAAACAAAAAACAAAAUUUGAAUCAGUACAUGCACUAUAAAAAAUUUCUGUGACAAUGAAAACUUAAAAUGCCCAGCUUUUUGUGGCAAGGCAACUUGCCCAAUCGGGCAUGCAAUAUAAAACGUUUACUUGCCCGUCAUGAUAUUCACUUGCCCCGGGCAAGUGUAUUCACUUGCCCCGGGCAAGUGUUAAGUUACACCUCUGACUUCUAUUGCAUCAACGGUAAUAUAAAAAUAGUAUUGAUCAUUGGUGUUACACUUGUUUUGUAUUUUGUUAAAAUACUCAGAGCUCUAUAAUAUUGAGAUUUUCAAUCCAUUAUUUGGUUAAGCAACACUGUCCUUUUGAUGAGUAAAAUCAUCUGGCAUUAGACUAGCCUGCUCACAGAUGUUGUAGUUCUUAUGCCAAGCGACGAAAUACUCCCGCCUGCUUACUGAGCUGCAUAUUCAAUUCCCUUUGUUUUAGGAGCCAAUCAUCUGGCAGUGUUCAAAAAAGUUAGAGCCAAUUGGAAGCCGCGUUAUUGAGACAUUAGCUACUGGGGAAAGCCCCUUGCACAUGUAUUGGAAUAUAUUGUUUGGGUUGAAACUUGAAAUUUGUUUACUUGUGUGGAUAUAUUUUGGAAACUAUAGCGUUGAACUUCACAAUGUUUAUGUAGAAUAAUAUUGUGAUCUUCUUCUCGCAUGUUCAGCAAACAAUCUGUGUAUAUAAAGUGCUAAAACAAUGCAGUAGGCAAAAUUUAAAUUUUUGUUAACAAUGACAAACAAUCAGUCGGGAAACUCGAGUGUAUGAGGAUAUGUCCAAAUGUUGCUCUUGAUACUUCCUAUAUGCCAUGACUUCGACGAAAACUUCUAAAAGAUUAAGCUCUCAUUGUCAUGUAGAAAAGUAUAGCCAAGUUAGAGUAUAAACGUUUUGAAGUUUGGGCGAAUUGGAAAAUUCAUCACAGCACAAUUUUAAUACAAGUUUCUCAGGGUUUGUGUUGUGUUUACAGCAAUUUAGUUUACUUUGAAGCUAAUAUUUCGCUUUCUAAGCCACAGUAUAAAAUAAAAUUUUCUGUCUUCCGACUUCUGUUGUCUUAUAAAGAUAAACCGUUAAAAUUUCGGCGAAAUAUAUUUCGCAUAUGCUGUCUGACUAAGAUAUUUCAUACAGUAUAAAUAUGCCAAUCCUGUCCGCAUUUUAAAUAUAACCGAACAUCAUUAAUGGUGCAUUUUAUUACCUGGACAAGUAUCAAUAUCUUUAAAUUCAAUUUAUAUGCAAUUUUGACCAAAAUUCAAGCAACGACUGCUUUCAAAAUAUAUAUUUAUAUUUAUUCCGCUCCUAAAUCAACUGACAUCACUUUCCAGAAUUUGGAAGGUAAAUUCUGAUUGGUCAACAUAGUGGAAUUCAGUUUGGCGCUUGGGUAAGCAGACGGUAGUAUUUCGUCGCUUGGUGUAAGAACUACAAUGUCUGUGAGCAGGCUAGCAUUAGACAGGGUGAAAUAAAAAAAAAGUAGGGCACAUUUUGGUGCAUUAAUGUGUUAACAAGAUACAUUGCCACUUUUCUUUUGACGAGUAAAAUGAUCAGAUGUUUGGUUACUUUGCAGCUUAAUGAGUUAAUCUUAUUUUUCUUAGAUAACACCAAUUCAACUCUAUGGCUUGACAAAGAAACUAUACACCAGCAAUGUGUACAAGGACAUUGAAUGUAUCAUUGGAAAUUUUUCUCAGAGAUUAUGCAGUCAUGCGUUAAUGUGUUAGUUCAGUUGGAUUUGCAGAGGAACUACUUGAAAAGGUCAGUUUCAAAAUCUCACUUUUGAAAUUUUUCAAAAAUGUCAUGUCCCAAAUGAACAAUAUUUUUCAAUUGAUGUUUUUAUCACUUGAAAUUGUUUUGAUGAAAAUAAUGGUUUGGACAAUUUUCAGAAAGUUUAUAGUUAGACUUGCUGCAAGUCUCUCUUUCAUUGCCAUAUAGUAUUGAUCCACUAUAGUGUACAUUACAUGACGUAGCACAGAGAGCCGGAGCGAGAAAGAGAGACUUGUCAACUUAAGAAAAUCUCGGUAAAAAACAGAACCUAAAAUGCAAGACUUGCUUUAAUUGUUUUUCUUCAGUUUCUUUCUGUAUUAUUUACUAUGAUGGAUUGACAUUAUUUACACUGUGCUAGAUCAAUACAUAUAAACACUGACAGAAAACAAUUAAAGCAAGUCUUGCAUAUCCUGUGGUCUCCACUUUGAUUAGUGUAGGAUUGCCUGUGCCCCCAUCACCUUUCAAUUAGACCAAAAUAUUCCAAUUCAUAUUUUUAUCGCGAUAAAGUAAUUGUUUUUAUUAACCCAUUGAGUCGCAUUGCGCCCUGAUGCACCCUACUUUAUUAUUUUACUCUGUCUAACGCCAGAUUAUUUUACUCUAAUAACGCCAGACGAUUUUACUCGUCAAUGGGAGAGCGCUUGUUAAAUGAAAAUAGUUUAAAAGAACAGUUUUCAACAAUUUUUGGAACGUUUUGAAUCUCUUGGUGCACUUUCAAAAAUUUCCUGUGGCUGCCUUUGGUUAGGCUAGGGUUGCAUCUGAUACCGUUUGCAAAUGACCAACAUUUUUCAAUUCAUGUUUUAUCAUUCGAAUGUAAUAGUUUUGUUUGAUUGAUUGAUUGAUUGAUUGAUUGAUUGAUUGAUUGAUUGAUUGAUUGAUUGAAGGAAAGGUUGAAAAAUUUACUUGGCCAUGGUGGGAAUCGAACCUACAAGAAUACCACCCAAUGCUGUGCCAACUGAGCUAUGUCUGGUCACCUGACCACAUAGGGCUAGUAUUCCAAAGGUGGUUGGUUCGAUUCCCACCUUGGCCAGGCAUAUUAUUCAAGCUUCGCCGGUGUGGAUAUCCACUCAGAGUAACAUCACAAACAUAUUCAACUGAGUACACAACACCAUCACAGAAAAAAUCACAUCAAAGUAAUUGUUUUGAUUACAAGAACAGUUUUUGACAAUUUUCAGAAGGUUCACAUUAUUUUCUAGUUAUAGACUUAUAAUUGGUUGAAUCAAGCAGCAAGAAUAAUAAUCUUAACUAUGAGAUCAUGUACACAACAUAGUUUCAGUUAUUUUAAAACCGUCUUUGAACUUUUUGUUCAAGCCUAGUGGCUUAUUUCAGUACAUGAAAAUCAUCCCACAUUUCAUCCUGUCCUGACAAACUGUGAUCAUGUGAACAGCACUGUUAGCCAUUAAGUUGAUUUGCACUGUAAUUUACAUACUAUACCAACUCUGUCUAACAUCAGACAAUGUUAUCAAUAAGGGGGAGCACUGCCAGUUAAUGAGUAAUUAGACGCAGGGACAGUAGUCUCAUAACGAAGCAUAAAAUCAUCUUGCGUUGGACAGUAAAAUACUCGAGUAGAGCAUGGUUCAUGGUACAGCACAACAAAAUGGUUUAAAUUUUAUAUCUGAAUUAACCCAUUGAGUUGCAUUGCACCCUGAUGCACCCUACUUUAGUAUUUUACUCUGUCUAACACCAGACUAUUUUACUCUGUCUAACGCCAGACAAUUUUACUCGUCAAGGGGAGAGCGCUAGCGCUUAAUGGCAGGGUUCGUAGCAGUCUUUGAAAUCCUUGAAAGUCUUUAAAUUGGAAUGCAGGUCUUUGAGGUCUGUGAAAAAGCAAAGAAAGUCUUUAAAAGUCUUUAAAUUAUUUAGUGAGGAAUUAAUUAUACGAUUUCCUAGCUAAUAAAAUAGAUUGAUUGAAUCGCAAAUAUCGACGAAAAUGCGCAUUUUAGGAUGUGAUUUGACCCGUCAAAUACGGACUAAUUACUGGGUAAAAAUGGUGCUUACACUCGCAAUUUUUCGACAGCUGAUUGCUCUCAAAGGUCUUUGAAAAUAGGCAGAAAAAAUCUUUGAAAGUCUUUGAACUUUUUUGGUCUUGGAGACUACGAACCCUGAAUGUGUUAACUGGCCUAUCUGCCCAUGUGUCUAGUUAACUGGCCUAUCUGCUCAUGUGUCCAGUUAACUGGCCUAUCAGCCCAUGUGUCUAGUUAACCCAUUGAGUUGCAUUGCACCCUGAUGCACCCUACUUUAGUAUUUUACUCUGUCUAACGCCAGAGUAUUUUACUCUGGCGUAUUUUACUCUGUCUAACGCCAGACGAUUUUACUCGUCAAGGGGAGAGCGCUGGCACUUAAUGGGUUAAUUAUUGUUUUGCUUUGUUUUACAGAUCAUUACUGAACAUGGUGAUGGAAUAGUAAUUUAUAAAAUAUCAUGUUACCAAGAUAAGACACCUCAAAGAGCAAUACGUGGGGAAAUAUCUUUAUUUUCCAACAAUGACAAUACAUCAAAGACAGUAAGAUCACAAAUCCAUGAAAUUAAAGAAAAUGUAUCAAAUGACAAGGACGAUGAUGAUGAAAUUGGAUGCAUCGGACAAAAUGAAUGGAUCGAAUGUUAUGGUCAGUAAUGGAUAUUUGUGGCUAUACUAAAUGGAUACAAAGAGACUAUGAUGGAUAAAUAUGGCCCUGUAAUGGUAUUCAGUUAAUGGAUAUACAAAGGCCACAGAAAUGUCUACUUUCAGGUGAUGUUUUUUCUUGUUUGCCUGCGAACAUGCUGUAUAUGUGUAGAUACAUGUACCCAGGCCAUUGUUUGUUUUAUUGUUCUGGAUACAAUGAAGUCGGUGAAGGCUAUUUCAGAUACGGUAGAGCACCUUGUCCCCAGCCCUUUAUUGGUGCGGCUGUUAAUUCAAUAUGGCGCCAAGCUAAGGAGUGCAGUUUAAUGCAGUUUAUAUUCUAUAUUUUCUACUGUUUUGGUUGGUAGAACUUAUAUUGUGAAAUGUCAGAUAUGUUACAAUUUAUCUGAAAAAAUAUUUUCUAAUAGAAUUUUUCUCUAACAUAAUUUAACAUAGUUUUAAAGUUGAUGUAUACUGCAUGAGUGAGUGAUGGUUGUGACUGAGUUGUUUAUUUAACAAUGAAAUUUAUACUAUUUUACUGAAGUUGGCAAGCUAUGAGCGGCUGAGCCUACAAUUAAAUAUUACUUGGCAUGAUGAAGAUGAUAUUAUUUCAUUUAUUUGAGCAGGACGAUACAUACCAAUGUGGUCACAAUGCAUUAUAAAUUGACAACAUUUUAUUAGCAGUUUUAGAAAGCUAAUCUGUCAGACGAUAUUUUAUCAUUAUUAUUAUAUUUAAAUUUGUCCAGGAUACCCACGUCACCGAAGUGUUUUUCAGUGGGGUCCUGCAUUAUAAAUUUCAACUUCAAUACAUAUAUAUUACAAAAUAACAUGCAAAUCUACAAUAACAUGCGUGUUAACAUACUUAUACUAUAUAUAGCCUAUAUACAAAACGUUAUGGAACUAAGACUAUGUUUACUAUGUAAUUCUCGCCUACAUAGCGUUUUUUUAAUACAGCUUUAAACUUGUAUAACGAGUCAGGGUUUCUAAUGUCUGGUUCUAAGUUGUUAAAGUCGUUUGAUGCUUCAUAGCUUGGUAUGCUUUACUUAGCUUAGCUUAUCAUAUAAAUAAUAAGAAAUAAAAUGCUAUAACUGAAUAGUGGAAAAUAUUGUUUCCAUUUUCAAAUUAUAAUGUCUUAUAGGCAGGUGUGUAUAGCAACGGGAGGGGGGUGUAAUGGACUAAAGAUACCACCACACUCACAAACUUUAUUAAUGUGAGAAUGCCAUGCUGACUUUGUGAAAAAAUAUGAUUCUGGCAAACAUUGACCAACAUGGGAAAAUUUAUUUAAACAACAUACAACUUCAACAAAUUGUGAUACAGCCAAGCAUAUCGUGUAUAUGAAGCUUGUUAAGAAAAUUCUCGCACCCAUAAAUGACAAGUGAGCACACUGUUGAAAAACUACAGUAUGCGAGUUUGACAAUAAGAAUAAGGUUUGUAACAAACAAUAUUCACGAUUAAACAAGUUAUUGUCACAUAAAAAACACAUAAUAGAAUCAACCCAAGUCAUAUCAUGUCUGUGCAGAAUUCAAAUAUUCAAGUAUUUCAGCAAGACAUAAAAGAACACAUAGUGGGAUACAAACUUUAUGAAUGUCAUGUUAGUUAUUAACAUGCAGUUAUCAUAGGGUGUAGUGGACUAAGCCAUCCCUUUAAUGUGUUUCUUUAGUUGGCAGAGGAGUUCUAAGGCCCCUUCAUAUUUUUUGAAGAUUACAUGACAUACGAUAUUAAUUUUACUCAUUGCAUAUGUAAAGUUACAGAUGAGCCAUGUAUUCCAUAGAAUGCAAAGUAUUUAACUAUUUCUGGGUUAAGUUAGAUUUUAAGUUCAAUGAUUUAGAGUAAAGUAUUGUUUUUAAGAAGUUAUAUAAAACUGAUGAUAUAAUCAAUCUUUUUGGGUCAAGAAUAACCUGCAAAAAUAGCUCUUUCCAUUUAUUUCAUAAAAGUGCAAACAUUGAUAUUUACACACUAGGGACAUAUGGUGUACUCAUUCCCAAGAAUCUUAAUUAUGGGUAGAAUGAAGUGUCAGUGCUCCCCAUGAAAGGCCCCUUUGAUCUACUGUUCAGAGUGUCAACAGGGAGAGCUUUCCAAAUGCUACAUAAAGAUUAGCCCAGGGACCUUCCUUGACGAGGCACACCCCCUGGCUCUUGCCGGGCACAGCUCUUAGGGGUUAUGCUACUGAGGAAUGAUGAUUUUUACCUUGCUGACAUUUUUUCACACACAACACAAGGCCAUCGGCCCUCCCCCCUAGGGUACUAACCCUAUUGCACCGCUAUAAAGCAAAAUGGACCUUUGUAUGCCCCGGUUAAAAUGUAAGCAUGAACUACUAAGUAUGUUAGCUUAUGAAACGAGACAAUUCAAAGGAAAGUAGUGAAAGAGGACACGUUGGUUGUGAAUUUGCCAUCCUCACGAUAAUGUUCACCCAGUAUGAAAUGAAAAGGCAGUGCACAAACUGUGCAGAGUCCAUUUUGCAUGUUAGCACACAAUUUGAUUGUAUAUUGUUGAAUUAUAAUCGUAUCUUUUUGGUAGUGGUAGAUUCAGCCAAGUUGUUUCAGGGGCAUGCUAGACAGGUGAGGACUCUGAACCUGGCACUGGGCUAGAUACUUGGGGUAUUAAACUCAAUUACACAUACCACAUGAAAAUAUAUUUGUAGUACUAAUUAUAUGCAAUAUCUCAAAUACUCAGAGGUAUGAUAAUGACUAUGACUACUUAGUGCUAAUUAAACAGUGCAAUGUUGAACGGUCUAUGCCGGGAUAGAUAUCAAGAUAACUGCAGAUUUCGAGGGAUACAACUACCUGAAUAUUCAAGCGGAACUUCAAUCAAAAAGUC
Molecule: long non-coding RNA, 16546 nt
Filed under: Paramuricea clavata
Lineage: Eukaryota; Metazoa; Cnidaria; Anthozoa; Malacalcyonacea; Plexauridae
Source: RNAcentral